RNAcentral lists this long non-coding RNA (1204 nucleotides) under Aquilegia coerulea. Its description in RNAcentral is "long non-coding RNA (ACOE_LNC001832)". The record is from RNAcentral. Lineage: Eukaryota; Viridiplantae; Streptophyta; Magnoliopsida; Ranunculales; Ranunculaceae.
ACGUGACAGUAGUGUGACCCUACGGUCCAUGGAGGACAUAUGGAGAUCAUUAUGACUCUAUUGCCCGAUUUUGGCCUGGCCAGCUAGGAUCGGAUUUCAGGGGCGUUACAGUUGCUCACACAUGCACAUGCAUGGUUUGGGAGAUAACUAGGCUGUCAUGUGUGCAUGUUGUUGCAGUGAUUAGGCGAAGGAGAGAGCCAUGGGUGAAGUAAGUAUAAAUUGUAAUUUCUUAAUCAUUUUCUAAUAAUUAUUUUUUGAUAAUCUUGUACUUAACUAUUUCUUACUUGUGCACAGGUAUUGCAGUCCAUAUUACAGUGUAGAAAGGUUUAGAGCUACUUAUGAAGGGUUCAUUUAUCCAAUUGAUAAUGAAAAAGAUUGGGACAAGGUAAGUGUUGGUUACAAAUUCUAAUUAAGUAGGGGAUUACAUCUUUAAUUAUGUUGUAGAUUGCUAAUUAAGACAAACAAUAUUCUGUUGUUUAGGUUGGUCAAAAUGAGAAGGUUCUACCUCCUCCCUAUACUGCACAACCAGGUAGACCUAAGACUCUGAGGAUAAAGGGCGAUGAUGAAGAUUUACCUUCAUCAAACAGAAGGUGCAAGACAUGUGGACAAGCUAAUCAUAAUUCUAGGACGUGCCUUUAGAGAAAAAAUCUUGGUGAGAAGGAAUACAAGAAGAGUAAAAACAAGAGGAAGAAAAACAACAAUUAUGGUGAGGCUUAUGUGCAGCAUAAGAAGAAAAUGCCAAAGCUUGGGGGGUGGAAAUGCAGGUUCAAGUGCAGCUGGAAAUGUUGGUUCAAGUGCAGCUAGAAAUGCAGGUUCAAGUGCAGCUGGCAAUGUAGGUUUAAAUGAAGCUGGAAAUGUUGGAUCAAGUGUAGCUAGAAAUCCAGGUUCAAGUGCAGCUGACAAUGCAAGUUCAAGUGCAGCUGGAAAUGAUGGAGGUGGUUCCUUGCAUCUGACAUGCAGAUAUGGGCAUAGUGAUGUUGUGUGGCCUUCAUCCUUACAUAGUUGGCACCUGGUCUGUAUAGAAAAAGUACAAAAAAUUAGAAUGUAGUACUACCUGUUUCUUUAGUAUUUAGGGUUCGGUACAAUUUCUGCCAUCAAUGAGUAUGGAUGCUUACCUCAGGGACAAAAAUUACAGUUGUCUUGAAGUUUGUUGAAUUUGCUGUCAUUUUUCUUCUUUAUGUUGUUGAAUAGAAAUAAAGUAGUA